This 292-nucleotide ribosomal RNA is filed under the name uncultured bacterium. RNAcentral's name for it is "partial 16S ribosomal RNA". It matches the Rfam family "Bacterial small subunit ribosomal RNA", at positions 775 to 1067 of the family's 1533-position model. The record is from RNAcentral.
GGAUUAGAUACCCUGGUAGUCCACGCCGUAAACGAUGAGAACUAGACGUUAGAAGGUUUGCCUUUUAGUGUCGUAGCUAACGCGUUAAGUUCUCCGCCUGGGGAGUACGGCCGCAAGGCUAAAACUCAAAGGAAUUGACGGGGGCCCGCACAAGCGGUGGAGCAUGUGGUUUAAUUCGAUGCAACGCGAAGAACCUUACCUACCCUUGAAAUCCUCGGAAUCUUCUAGAGAUAGAAGAGUGCCUUCGGGAACCGAGUGACAGGUGCUGCAUGGCUGUCGUCAGCUCGUGCUG